Molecule: ribosomal RNA, 473 nt
Filed under: Remasellus parvus
Lineage: Eukaryota; Metazoa; Arthropoda; Malacostraca; Isopoda; Asellidae
Description: partial 16S ribosomal RNA
Rfam family: Bacterial large subunit ribosomal RNA
Source: RNAcentral
CUCUUAAGACAUCUUAAGUAAUCUCUGCCCUAUGAUGUAUUAAAUGGCCGCAGUAUUUUGACUGUGCAAAGGUAGCAUAAUCAUUUGUCUCUCAAUUGGGGACUGGAAUGAAAGAGUAGACGAAAUGGGAUCUUUUGAGGUAGGGGGUAAAUUUGACACAAGAGUCAAAAGGCUCUUAUACUUCUAGGGGACGAUAAGACCCUAUAAAACUUAACUUUGAGCUUUACCNUUAAAGGAGAGGGGAGGGUUAANAGUUAAACUGGGGCGGUUUUUGUAAAACCUAUAAAAAUUAAAAUAUAAAAGAUAGAAAUGAAAAACUUAAUUAAAAAUUUGAUCAAGUUACUUUAGGGAUAACAGCAUAAUCCCCUCAGAGAGUCCAAAUCGGCGGGGGGGAUUAUGACCUCGAUGUUGAAUUGGGAAUAUUUUACCGGGCAGCCCCGUAGAGAGUUAGCCUGUUCGGCUAUUAAANUCCC